RNAcentral lists this ribosomal RNA (215 nucleotides) under uncultured bacterium. Its description in RNAcentral is "partial 16S ribosomal RNA". It matches the Rfam family "Bacterial small subunit ribosomal RNA", at positions 524 to 732 of the family's 1533-position model. The record is from RNAcentral.
UACAGAGGGUGCAGCGUUGUUCGGAAUUAUUGGGCGUAAAGGGUGCGUAGGCGGUUGCGGUAAGUCUGUAGUGAAAUCUCUGGGCUCAACUCGAGAGUCUGCUAUAGAAACUGCCGUGCUCGGAGUGUGGGAGAGGUGAGUGGGAAAUUCCCGGUGUAGCGGUGAAAUGCGUAGAUAUCGGGAAGGAACACCUGUGGCGGAAAGCGGCUCACCUG